GCUCUUUCCCUCCCCGUCUGUCCCACUGAUGAGGCAAGAAAAGGAUGACAAAGCAGAAAGCGAGGGAAGAUGCAGGGUGAACGUUUCCGCCGGGAUGUUUAAUGAUGAGAAAGGAAAGAAAGCACCAAAAGAAGUUCCUGACGGAAAAUUCCUCGCAGCUUUCAUGUCACAGCCCCUGACCUUCAGCUGCCCAUAAACGCCCUGCAGCCACCCCCAGCACGUUCCCAGCAGCCCGGUGGGGCUCUGCAUUGAGCCACCCUUCCACCAGCAAAGCUCAGACUGGGAAUUCAAACCCCAAAUCCGGCUGUGGGGUGCCAGCAGCCAAACACAGCCUGGUUCAGCACCCCGUGCUCUGGUACCCCAAGGGGCCAUCAUUCACCACCACAUGUGAUGUGUGGUGUGGGCACACACCUUCAGAAACCCUCAAAACCAAAUAAGAUAUCACUGUCGAUAGGAGUUCUGUGAAUAGAGAUGAGGUAUAAAAUCGAAACAAGUAUUUCCUUAUGGUCUUUUUUGUUUAUUUACUUGGGGAAAUAACCAUGCACGGAGCUGGCAUUAAGGACUGGCUUUUCAGGCACAUUUUUAGCUAACAGAAUAAAGGGAUUUAUUUCUGCAGUGAAGAAACAGAGGAAUAACUUGUAAAGGCACUGUAAUUCCAUCCAUUUGGAGCUGACUGUAGCUCUGAAGCAGCCGCAGAUAACUUAAGAUGUUGCAAGUUCAGAAGGGAUUUUUAUCUCUCUGUUUGGAGAAGCAUCGCCUUGACUUCAUCGGCACAAUCUCAGUGUGAGGCUGUAGUUUAAAUAACAGGAAGGAAGAGCGGCUGCCCCGGGUCCAAGUUUGCCCCAGGAUUUGGGAUAAAGGCCGGGCUGCCAAGCAGGGGGUCCCAAACCCCAUAGCAGCCCCAUCCCACGUGCUCUGGGGCUAUGGAGGGAUGCGGGGGACGGUUGGAUCAGAACAUCGCUGCCAUCCAGGGGAUCUGGGCAUGAAGUGUACAGGGAAGCCCUGAUGGAAGAAAACAGAGCAAUGCCAUGCUGAGCUUCCCAGAGCAGAGCAGGGUGAGCAGGUCCUGGCCCUGUGCUGCAGCCCCACUCAGACCAGUCUAUGUCUCGGUCGCUGUCUGCUCCCUGUGCCAGCUGUUAACCAGCACCACUUGCUCGGCCUGAGCUGACCCAGCCAAUACCUGGAAUUAAUGAAACAAAAAGGCCAUGAAGCAAGGAGCUGUUGUUACCUAAUGUGUCUCAUCCCCUGAGCAACGUGUCCAUCAGCACGGUGCUGCGCAUCAGGAGGGGAAGGCGAUUUGGGUGCCUCGCUGUGUGCUCAGCAGCUCGGAUCCCCUCUGCUGCUUCACCUUUCUAACCUGCAUCUCUUCUGCUGUUUUUAUAGAAACAGCCUCAAUUAUUCCCACCCUGUUCUAGCAGGCCUAGGGCCAAGCUGCUUAGCUGCAGGUUUUCCUGCUCGUGAACAGCAAGCAACACCUAUCCACGCAAUGCAGAAGAAGCAUCCCAGUGGGUUUGCAUUUGCACUUUGCUAAAGACAGUGCUUUUGGGGCUGAAUUUCACCCAGGAGAGGCAGCAGGAGACUCUGCAGUGCUCAGCACCGGGCAGGAUCGGGGCUGCACAUCACUCUGCCACUCAGCCCUGGGAUCCCAUCUGUGGGAUAGCAUAGGGCCGGUGACACGGGACUUAUGGAGCUGUGUGUUUCAACAUACAUUUUCCAAAAGCUAUUUCAUACGUUCCAUCACGCCGAGUAAUGCGCUGGAAACCAUCCAGGCUUGGGGAUGUUUCUGUAAACGCAUCAUCUCUGCCCUUCCACUGCUUUUGCUGUGAGCAGAGGGGACCCGGUGCUCCCCCCUCCUGCUGUGGGAGCUGGGGAUGCUGCGAGGACCUCUCUGCUCCUUUGCAGUGCAGCCCUUCGUUUUCACUCUGCUUUCACAGCAGCGUUUCAUAUGGUCUGUGUCUUGAUUUCCUAGAAGCAUCCCUGCACUUCUCUGGCUAUGAAAACACCCCCACGAUGUCCUGCACGUACAGACUCAUAUAUGCAGCACACACACCCACUAGAUGGCUGUUUUCUAGCUCUUUAUUUGAUUGAAUUGUUACCAGAGGGAGGUGACAUUUUCUCACAAAGCUUUUUCUACUGCAAAAUUCAGGCUUAAAGACACCAGACUGCUCAUAAAGUGUGUAUCAAACCCGCCUAUUUCAUCAGGUAGAGAAAGCAAAACAUUAGGAGAUAUUCUGGAAUAGCUGGAGAUACACCUAUAGAACCAGCAAAUGGAUAUAUGGGAUGGGUUGAAAAUGCCAGAACUGUUAGGUUGGGAUCUGUUUCUAAAGAAGAAAAAAGAGAGUAAAUCUUGGAAUGAAACCUGGAUGCUUUGUUCAAAGCCAGGCAGAUGUGUUCCAUCUGGGUAGGAGGAGGUAUUCAAAACAAGGCCUGAUUGUUUUCCAGCAGUUUCUAAAUUGCCAAAAAAAGCCAAAUCAGCAUUGGUUCUUACAGUCUGAUAUUCAAAUCCACCCUUAUUGUGCCUAAAACACAAAGUGGCCAUUGCUUGGCACUGGAGGGGCAUGCAGAGAUGUUUUAUAUAGUACAGCGAGCACAGAAUGGCACAUUGCCCUUCAGGGUCUGUUUCAUUAGAGCCAGAAGGAAAGGACAGUAAGUGAGGGUCGUGUUCCUAUUUGAAUCUAACAUUCCACCAAUGUCUUUGAUUGCAUCCAAGCAGAGGUGGGCAUUCUGCUGCGUUUUACUCUCCUGCUGUAAACAUGAAAUAUUACUUUUAAUAGAUCUUUUCCCCUCAGAAAAAGAGGCUGAACACGUGUAAUUAGAGCAACAGGCACGUGUCUGCGUUCAGGGAGACAUCCCCAUAAAGGCAGUUGGCAUUUGAGCAGUCUCGAGUUAAAUCUGAAGGCUGGAUCUAUCCAUCUCCUAUUUUAUCAUGAAUGCUAAUUGGAGUCUGAGGGCCCUUUGAUGGAAGCAACACGGCAAACACAGCGUGUACCACUUCCUCCAAUUUCCAGAAAGCAAUAGGCACGUGAAGUGGACGUUGGGUUUAAUUUAUACUGUGAGAAUCCCUCGCUGCACAAUGCCUCCGUUUCCAGAUAUUAUUAACAGAGCCGGAGCGUCCUUCCAUGUGUGCUGGUGGAAAGGAACGAUAAAUCAAGCAUGCUUCUGGGACGAUUGCAAAACCUCCGUGCAACUUGACUCACAGUCUAAAAAUGUGCUUGUGGAAUGGUUGUGGUUGCAUCACGUAGGUGCUGCAAAGCAAACACCGAUUUGGAGAACCUCCUCUCCCCAUCCUCACUUCCUUGCAGCACGUGGCCAUACGUUUUCUGCCCUCUCCAGGAGCUGCUGGAUACUGAAAGAGCAUCCCUGGGAUCGAUGGUCCUCUCCUUUCUGCUACCACAGCAGCAAGAAGGGAACUCGAACUGGGAUCAAAGAGGUUUGGUUCGGCUCCUGAGAAGAGAAUGAAGAAGGGAAGGGACAGGAGGAGCACAUCUGGAGGCUGGUGCAUGGCUGCGUGGCCUUCCCCUCCAGCGAGCAGCGUUUGGAGAGGAAAUUGCCUUGUGGAUAGCUGAUAUGGGUGUUUGCUCAGGGGGAGCGGUGCGCCCGGGCAGGGAAAGGAAAUUCCUGGAUGCCAAGUCAAAUAUAGGGAAAAGAAAGCAGAUUCUGCAAGAAUAACUAUAUGCUGGAGAGAGAAGUUGAGCAGCCAGUCGGUGGCCGGGCACUGGGUUUGGGCAUGUGGGUGAUGGUCCAAGGGUUGGCAUGCAGCACAUCCCAGUACACCAAUAUCCCAGAAUCCCCACAUCCCCAAUAACCCAACAUCCCAGCACCCCAACAUCCCAGCAUCCCAAUAUGCCAGCACUGCAGCAUUCCAGAGUCCCACUGCAGCCCUUGGGCUCCGCUCGCUGCCCAGCACUGCACUCGGGAACGCAGGCAUGGCCAUUCCAUGUGGCUGGCUCCAUUCUUUUCUGGUUUUUUCCAUUUUAGGAGCUAUCCUGCACCAGCUUCUUUAUCAGUAGUAAAGAAGAAAAAGAAAGGAAAAAGGCACAAAGUAAAAAAAAGCAAAGCAAAACAUAACCACAGCGUUUUCCGUGACCCUUCUCUGGCCUCUGCUUACACAAAAAAAUCCUGGCAUCCAUAAUGAUCAGGCCUUUGAUUGAACGACAUUUUAAUUCGGGAUAUAUUAAAACAGCAUGUUUUCAAAUGAGCGGUCCCAGAGCAGAAGGGGAAGAGCAGGCUCCCCAGAACCUCUCCAGCUUCAGAGUCACAAGCUGUGCCCCAGAUGCCAUCACGGCAGCUUUGAUAGGCAGGCCCCUUGAUUUAAAAUAGGGCAGGGGGGGGGGUUGGCUAAUUGAAACCAUUGUGUUAUGAUAACCAAAUGUCUUCUGCCUUUUGCAUCUCCCAUAGAUGGCAAUGCAUAUUGAAAAAGACAUAAUAAUGCCACGUCCGUUUUCAGGGAGAGAUCAAAGGCUCUCCUGGAAAGAGGAGCCCAGUUGUCCCCCCCAAUGCAUCUGGGCUGCAGACAGCCAGUGGUAAAGGCGACUUCAUUCAUCCGCGGGGCAGAGGAAUGCUGUCUGGGUGCUUUGAAAAGUGCAAGGGCUGGUGGAGGGAGGAAAAAGCUCUGUGUAUGGGAACAGGGUGGAUUUAUGGCCCUCAUGCUGCAAUGGGGUCCUGUGGCUUCACUGUGCAUUUUGGCACAGCUGGCGCUGCAUUACCCAGGAGGCUGAGAGUGGGCUGCAAUGGGAGCAGCAAUCACCCAAAGCAGAGUCAGUGGCACAGAACGACCAAACCCAGGGUGAGCAGCAUCCUUAGUUGCUGCCUGCAGAACGGUAGCCCCGAGCUUCCAAUACGCUCCAUGAAAGCAUCCUCAUGGGGGUUCAUUCUAUCACCCCGUCCACGGUUUCUGGGCAGCUCUGCCCUAUUUGGCUCCAGCUUGAAUUUGGACCAGAGCAGGUGGAUGGAGUGAAGCUGCCCCUGCAGCUGUGGGCAUCCUGCCUUGGUGCAUCAGGAUCAUUGUAGCAAAACGUGCACCUCAUGGGCUGCCCUGAUGUGUUGCUCUGCAGAACAUCUGCAGCUGCCAGCAGGGCUCAGGGUGCCUCCCAGGAUGUCAGGAUGCUGCUCCUGGAGGUACUGUGGAGGAAAAAGGGGCAGGUUUGGCUGAUUUUAGAAGGCAUCUAAUUGCACCAGAUGGUACGGGCAUGUUUAAUUCACCCUCCAGAGAGGCUGACCUGUGAGCCACCUAACGUGGCUUUAUUGCUUUUCCCUGCAUACCCAGCAAAUCUCUGAGUGCAAGAACUCUGCUUUGUUUGCAUGUACAAUGAGACACUGGGAAACACCUGCCCAUCGCUCAGCAGACGCUCAGCCCGCUUGCAAAUACAUUUUAAGCCAUAAUUAAAAUGACAUGCCAUCUUCUCCUCGUACUACACAAGCAGAAGUAUGGCGUAUGGCCUCCAGAAAUCCAGAAUAACUCAAAGCAGAACUGGUUUGUAUGCUUAAUCAGACUGUGUGCUGAAUGCAGAACAUAACAACAACAAAAAAAACCAAUUAAAAAAAACCCAAACAACCCCAAACCUUUAUUAAAUGCACAGCACUGAGUGGGGACUUCUGCUCAACGUUGAUUGAGACAUUGGAAAAUUCAGCCCUCGUGUUUCAUCAGCUGCACUGAAAUACUUCGGUGCAGAUGGACAGAGCCCAGAUGGCAACCUCGGCUGCGGAGCAUCUCUGCCCCAACCAUAUGCUGCUCAGAAGGGGAAGGGAUGCAGGGUUUGCUUCGUAGCUUUGGGACUCGCUGGUGCCACGUGGAGCUCAGAGCUGCUCAUUUCCACCCAACCCGCGCUAUGGUGACACGGUGGGGACGUGGCACUGCUGUCCUGCAGUGGGAAAAAGGCAUGGCAGGGAGCCAGGGAUGCACACACUGCGGCUUUGUGGGGCCACUGAUUGAGGCAGAUAGCGAUGUAAUCGGGCCAACACACACUGUCAGGGGGAGGGCUGUUUGGUACUGCGGGUUGAGCACUUUCUGCAAGAACAGGAGGGCUUUCUUUUUGAGAACACGAGAGCUGAGCAAACACCUCCAGCAGAAGUCUGUAUAAGUUUGAAUCUUGUCUCAUCCCUGAGAUGCUGCUGUUUGCAUGCAUGAAUUGGCCUUCUUUCUUCCUUCCACAGCCUCGUGAGACAUUCCGUGGAAGGUGGCAAGCAUUGGAUGAGUAACAUUUCCCCAUAGUGCAUUAAUCAACGCCUGCUUGGCCAAGCAGCAGUCAGUGUGAGAGGAGGACGAGUUGGGCUCCCAGGCACACGGGGAACUGCUGAGACUCAGAUUGCACACAGCAGCACCACAGCGACAAAGCUGCCUUGGUUCAGCACCCAGGGGCACUGCCACAAUCCCAGCUCAGAGAUGGGAUGGGAGGUAUGGUGUGCAACUCGUUGCUGGUUCCAUGAGAGCUUCUCCAUGGCGCUCACACAGGGACAUAAAAUGUGAGGGGUGGCCUCUGUCCUCCUGGCACCGUGGUUCCCUGAGUGCAGCUCCCUUCCUUGAGCAGGAUCAGAGCAGGGCUUCGGAGGAUCCUACGCAGAGAGCAUCCUCCAAGGACGUGUUUUCAAAGGCUCUCCAUCUCCCAAAGGCUGAAUAAUCUCAAGAAAGGGCCCAGGAAGAAGUGAAAUCCUCUCCAGAACGGUCAUUUGCAAGAGUGUGUUUCCAUAACCUUGCAUUGUUACAGCAUCACAAGGAUUUGUCUCCUCUUCUGGCUCCAGCACACAUGUUCCUGGCUCCCAUGGAGGCACUGUGGACAGCCCAUGCCAUACAACGUGCCAGAAACAUGACCUCCCCAUGAACUUUGGGCCAUAUUUUCAAGUCUGCGCCCAGCUCCUUGCAGGCAGGGCUGUCUGGCCAGUGCAUUCUGGCCCUUUUGCAUGGAAAAUGAGCUGUGUCAGCCUUCGUGGCCCACUGGCUUGCCAGCUGCGUCCCUAACAGCACUUUGCAGCCUCCUCCCUCCGUGCUCAACAUGUUGCCUUCACCUGGCACAUGGGACAGCAACGAGGGGACUGUGAGCUUGUCCUCGGUGGCUGGGGCCCAGCUGGCCACCCCCAUCUCCCCACUGCAGCCACCGCACGCUCCUCGAUGCAGCAGAACUCAAUGUACAGCCCUUUUAUUUUUCCUCCUUGGUUUUCCUGUUUCCAGAACAGUUGAAUAUUUUACUUGCAUCGUGCCCCAGUUCCCCAGUUUCCAGCAGGCAGAACAGGGCGAUCUGUACCCACCUCUUGCAGCAGCUGGUGCUUGUUCCCCUGGCAAAACUUCACUUUGGAGCUGAACCCAACAAUGCUGCUGACUCCAACUGAUUCUUUCUCCCCCAGCCUAAGGCACUUUAUGAUGAUAUUAAUAACCAGACACUGAGGUUCAGCACUAAGGAUUUCUUAAGCUUGCUGCUGGGGCUGUGAUUGAGCUUUGUAGCCAUCUCUGCUUCAUCCCAUGAUCCAUCAGGGUUGGUGGGGACACCCAGACCUCUUUUGGGAAGUCCCUCCACAGCUCCUCUCUCCCAUAGCACCCAUGGGGUCAGGGGCAGACUGGGUGCUCCCAGACCUCUUUCCUGUUCUGCCCUUAAUACACCAAAGGGAGAUCUCUUGUUCGAUGGUUCUCUAUUAACCCUAUUCAUGAGUCUUUUAAUUAGUGUUGCCUUCUGCUAAGUAAUCGCUUCAGCAUUAGCUCCUCUGGGGCAAUGCAGAGCUGCAACAGGGCACUGCAGGAGUUGCAUGCUGCUGUUCUGCCUUCUGGACCUGCUCCUGCUGGCAACUAUGCCAUUCCUUUUGCACAGACCGCACAGUGCCAGAGCAGCCCACUAAAACUUGCAAAGAAAAGCAGAAAGAAGCAUCUGAAACCCCACCAGGAGCUGCGGCAGGUAGAGUUCUACCCUUACAUCUGGGAAACCUCCAGCUCAGCUCAAUCCUGCUGAUGCACUGCUAAGGGGAGCUUUGUAGUGGCCCUAUUCAAAGCACUCAGCUCUGGGGGCAUGUUUCCCCCAGCACCCAGGAGCAAUGUUUCCUUUGUCAAUUCAGGGUCCCCACCAAUCUGCAUCACCCCAUGCCUGGAGGCAGAGCUGCCAUGGCUGCCUUUUAUCCCCUGCAUCCUCCGGCAGAGCUCACAAAGUGGUACUUUGUACCAGAGCAAGAAACAAGAGACGUGAGCUGUAAUACAGGAGAGAGAGAAAAAAAAACCCUCAUCUCACCCCUUGUGUUUUUCCUGGAAAUGUCACUGCCCUUAAUGCAUCAAAUAAUUAGAAUCACUUCUCCCCUUUUGUUUGCCUUGGCCCUCACUGCUCGCAUUGAGUGGGCCAACAUAAACCUGUGCGCACCACAGGAAUUUUGGGCACAGCCCAUUCUGCAGUGCUGGGUGCAGGGGGAGAAGUGGCUGCAGGAGCUUUGGUUCUGCUCCAUAUGUCUCUGCUGCUGUGGGCACUGCUGGGCACGGAGCUCCCAUAGAGAGGACCUCACUGCAACGCUAGCGCUCAACCAAGUGCUGGUCCCUAUGGAAAUCCACUGUCCUGGAGAGAAGCAGCAGCAGCUGAUGCCCAUUUAAUGCCAAAAUUGCAGAUUUGUGUUUGACCUGAGUGGUGGGUGUGAGCGUGAUGCUGGCAGGACAGAUGGGUGGAUAGCUCUCUGAAGUCCCAGUGGGAUGUUACGCUUGUUGCUCUGUAGUUGUAGCCUUCUCCUCUGGGUGCUGGGGAGUGCUCCGAGGUGACGUGGGAGAACAUAUCCCUUGUGAAUGCUGGAAAGCUGUGCUGGGUGAGGUGGCAUUGCACCACUAAUCCACGCACAGAGGAGCCCAGCACCCCCUCAGCACCCCUUACAGACACAGAUGGACACAGCCAGCAUCACAGCCCAGCUGGCUGCCUGCCCCCAGUACCGCUCCCAUGGGCUGCAUGUAUGUCAAUGGGUUAUUAAAGAAACGGAUGGGGGAUUAGCUGUGCUGUAGGUAGAGACCCCAUUCAGAUUUGCUAAGUUUCAGCAAGUAUGUUUUCAAUAAUUGGCUGGUAUUUGUAAGAAAUGAAUAAAACCUAGGCUACUAAAGCUGGUCCUUCUCUUAUUAUAAGGCAUUUAUUGCAUGCUUAGAAGCAUAUGUCUUCAAUAUCUGAAGCAAAGGAAAGUAAUAUAUAAGGAUCCCUUCUUAAACACAAAUAUAUGCAGCCAUAAUCACAAUUAUUAGCCACCAUGAAAUAGCUAACAAACUGAAGAAGCCCCCUCAGCAGCAGCUUUACAACUGGGGGUGCAUAAGAAAUAAAGACAAAGGAGAGAAUUGCCCUCUUAGCUGUGCGAGACUCCACAAGGCAGAGGAAGGAUCAGCUCUGCUGAGGAGUGUUGGCAUCUCGGAGAAGGUUCACGGAUGAAGCCAAUGGAGAAGGGUGUGCAGGAGCGGGGCAGGGAAUUGGGAAGCAGCGCUGCUGCUGGUGGUUGUAUCCUUCUGAAGAAAGAACACUGGAAAACUAAAGCUACCUGUCACUGCUGCUGUUAUCACAGAGGUAUUUGGGAGAGGGUGAGCGAAUGUUUCUGCAGGACUGCGUGCUGAUUUAUUGGUACGGAGGGAGGUGCAGCGGGGAAACCACUGUGCGGAUCGUUGGCGAGGAGGGGCACGUGGUUCUCCAAAGAUUUUUGUCUGAAAACGCAAUCAGCUGAAGUCAGCGCCGCGCCGAGGGUCUGAGCAGAGCUCAGUGCUGCUCAAGGAGGCACUUUCAUGUAAGAGGGAAGAAAUGGGCCCUGGCUCUGUGUAUAUCCCUGUUGGUCUUCUGAACACUUCGCGUUGCGUCUUCCUCCUCACUGCACCGCCCUGAAGCACAUACAGAAAAUGAUUGCUGAAAACGGGGUGUCCGCGAGUCACAAUGAGUGCAAUUAAACCAUGGAACGGAUUCCCCAGGGAUCUCACGCAUCCUUGGCUGCUUGGAGGAGCCUCAGGGCGGGCUGCAGCAGCUCCUUCCCUUUGGUGGAGCAGCGCUGUUCCUCCUGGGAUUUGCUCCAAAUGGACAGCUCUGCUCUGCUCCAGCUGCUCGGUGGGUUUCUCUCCAGCACGUUGCUGGUUUGCACAUCGUUUCAAGCCUGCAGCUGUUAUCGGGCUGUUGGUUUGAGCGUUGUUCACUUCCAAUCCCUGCCUCAUUGCAGGGGGAGACCAUCCCUGGAGAUCCUCCCCUCUCCCAUCUCCAGGGCACCGAUCCUCAGCCACUCUGAGCGCAAUGCAGACACCACACAGCUCAGCAGGUUUCAGUGCCUCUGCCACCAACUGCGACUCAAAUCCAAAGCGAUUUGGCUUUGUUUUGUUUCUAAGUUGCUGCUCGAGCUUUCUUGGCUCACAGGCAGAUUUUCUCUUCCAAGGUUUCAGUGGUGGAGGGCUGUUUCUCUAAUCCCCAAUAGUUUGAGAUUAUCUCCAGCCAACAAUUAAUCAGAAUCAGAAUUUUGCACUGCUUGCCUGUGCUGCUGCAUUGAGUGCAUGUAAAACCCUCUUUCCUCUGAAGAAAAGCAUGUUCUACUUUCCUAUGUUGCCUCCGGUCUCUUUAGCUGUCAGGGCACUCGGCAUCACACCAGGAUGCUGAAUAGGCCAAGGGAUGCCUUAAACAUACCACUCAAACAGGCAGAAAGCGGAUUCAGGAAGGCUCAACACGAGCUGAAAGCUCACUGUUUAGGAAGCAUCUCUGCUGGGGUGAGGGUUGGCUCUUAUGGGUUUGUGUUGUGGACUCAGCACUUGGGCAGCUUUGUUUUGGUGCAUGGAAUGCUCAGAGGCGUUCUCUGAGCGUGUGUUUGGGUAAUAGCCAAAAAUGAACCCAGUUAGCUAAUGGAAAUGCAUCCUUCCUCCUGUGCUGGGACUGCGUUGCACUGAGUGCGUUGGAAACAGCACCAGAAGUGAUGUCUGACUGCUGCAGAUCCCAAACCCUCAGUCAGGCACUGCUCUGUGGAUGAGCAAGAUGGGCACAGCUGGAUCUGCUCCUCAAGGAUCCGCUGCAGGUGUGUGACUGGGGAAUUUUU
Gallus gallus (chicken) is the source of this 10989-nucleotide long non-coding RNA. RefSeq lists it as uncharacterized. NCBI's taxonomy places the organism in Eukaryota, Metazoa, Chordata, Aves, Galliformes, Phasianidae. The transcript is spliced from 3 exons. The record is from RefSeq and is a predicted model, not a curated record.